GCCGAAGUGGCGGAAUUGGCAGACGCGCUAGGUUCAGGUCCUAGUGGGGAUAACACCCCGUGGAGGUUCGAGUCCUCUCUUCGGCA
This 86-nucleotide transfer RNA is filed under the name Tautonia sociabilis. It matches the Rfam family "tRNA". From Rfam's summary of the family: Transfer RNA (tRNA) molecules are approximately 80 nucleotides in length. Their secondary structure includes four short double-helical elements and three loops (D, anti-codon, and T loops). Further hydrogen bonds mediate the characteristic L-shaped molecular structure. tRNAs have two regions of fundamental functional importance: the anti-codon, which is responsible for specific mRNA codon recognition, and the 3' end, to which the tRNAs corresponding amino acid is attached (by aminoacyl-tRNA synthetases). tRNAs cope with the degeneracy of the genetic code in two manners: having more than one tRNA (with a specific anti-codon) for a particular amino acid; and 'wobble' base-pairing, i.e. permitting non-standard base-pairing at the 3rd anti-codon position. The record is from Rfam by way of RNAcentral. Lineage: Bacteria; Pseudomonadati; Planctomycetota; Planctomycetia; Isosphaerales; Isosphaeraceae.